Molecule: non-coding RNA, 25 nt
Filed under: Rattus norvegicus (Norway rat)
Lineage: Eukaryota; Metazoa; Chordata; Mammalia; Rodentia; Muridae
Source: RNAcentral
UGUAUGGUCUGGGUCUGGGACAAGC